This 253-nucleotide ribosomal RNA is filed under the name uncultured bacterium. Its description in RNAcentral is "partial 16S ribosomal RNA". It matches the Rfam family "Bacterial small subunit ribosomal RNA", at positions 524 to 776 of the family's 1533-position model. The record is from RNAcentral.
GACGUAGGGCGCAAGCGUUGUCCGGAUUUAUUGGGCGUAAAGAGCUCGUAGGCGGCUUGUUGCGUCGUCCGUGAAAACCCGCAGCUCAACUGCGGGCUUGCGGACGAUACGGGCAGGCUGGAGUUCGGUAGGGGAGACUGGAAUUCCUGGUGUAGCGGUGAAAUGCGCAGAUAUCAGGAGGAACACCGGUGGCGAAGGCGGUCUGCUGGGGUCGAACUGACGCUGAGGCGCGACAGCGUGGGGAGCAAACAGG